RNAcentral lists this transfer RNA (66 nucleotides) under Phasianella australis. RNAcentral describes it as "tRNA-Tyr". It matches the Rfam family "tRNA". Rfam says of the family: Transfer RNA (tRNA) molecules are approximately 80 nucleotides in length. Their secondary structure includes four short double-helical elements and three loops (D, anti-codon, and T loops). Further hydrogen bonds mediate the characteristic L-shaped molecular structure. tRNAs have two regions of fundamental functional importance: the anti-codon, which is responsible for specific mRNA codon recognition, and the 3' end, to which the tRNAs corresponding amino acid is attached (by aminoacyl-tRNA synthetases). tRNAs cope with the degeneracy of the genetic code in two manners: having more than one tRNA (with a specific anti-codon) for a particular amino acid; and 'wobble' base-pairing, i.e. permitting non-standard base-pairing at the 3rd anti-codon position. The record is from RNAcentral. Lineage: Eukaryota; Metazoa; Mollusca; Gastropoda; Trochida; Phasianellidae.
UGCGGGAUGGCUGAAUAUUAGGCGAAAGAUUGUAGCUCUUUUUAUGGGGGUGAACCUCUCUCGCAA